GAGUAAAAAUUUAAAAUUUAAUGAAUUAUAGGCGAUUCUUUCAAAUAACCAUUUUUAAAGUUUUUAUCACAAAAAUAGUCCACAAAAACGAAAAUGACCAAAAUAGUUUUUUUUUUAAUUUUGAAAUUUUUAAUAUUUACUUUUUAAAUUUUGAAACUCUAUCUUCAAAACGUCACCCCUUAACUCUAAACCCUAAUUCUAUAUAGUUAACUCUAAGAUAAAAAUGUACUUUUACCAUUUAAUAAAACUUUUUUGGUCAUUUUUCUCAUUGAAAGCUAUUUUUGUGACAAAAACACAAAAAACUAUCCUAGAAAAAAUUUCAUGAAUUAUUCUAAAAAAUGAUUUUUACUGUUUAAACUAAAAUUACAAGCAAAACAUUUAACAGCGCAUAUAUUUUUAGUAACUACUUUAUUUUCAAGCCAAACAAAACUUUGACAUUGUUUUUUAUUAACAGAUAAUAAUUUAGCAAAAAUACAUAAUUUAUUUAUUUUUCACAUAAUUAAAUUUCAAGCAUAAAUUUUUUUUUUAAAAAAACAGAAAGUGAAUAUUCAUAAAAAUAGAAAAAUAAAAACAGAUUUAUGUUCUUGUUUCUUCACGUAAUAUCAAAACUCAAACCAACAAAAAAAAUAAUUUCACAAAAAAUCAACUCCUCUGACCACCAAAUUUAUGUUUAAACUAAAAAGAAAGAUAAAACCUAAAACCAAAAACCAAUAAUUAACACGUAAUCAAAAUAAAGAUUUAAAAAUAUUAAUUUGGAAAACAAAAAUAAAUUGUAAAAAUACAAAAUAACCAAUUAGUAAAAUGAAAUAAUAUAACUUGAGUUUAGUGAAAACUUUAUUCAACAAAUAGUGACUUAAAAAAUUAAAAAUAUAAAUACAAACUUUUAAGAACAAAUAGAAAGUUGCUAAAAAAAAGAACAUAUAGAAAAAUUUGUAAGAAAAAAGAUCAUUUAAAAUAUUGUUUUCAUGUGAAUCUUAUGAAAUUUGUUUUCCUUUUUUAGUCACAAACUCAAACAUAGAAAAUUAAUUAAAAAUAAAAUAAUGAAAACACAACUAAAAAAUGAUAUUCUUUUAGAUGCGAAUAGCAUGAUUUGUGGUCGUUUAUUCGAUUGGGUUUUAGAAAAGAGAAAAAAAAAACAGAAGAAACCUGAAAGAAAAAAAAACAACUUUCAAAUAUUAGAAAAAUCGAAAAGAUUACAAGUAUUAACUGUUAGAUUUAGAAGAAAAAAAAAGAAAUAACCAAUAAAUGAAGGCUCUAUUUGUCAAUUAACUAAAAAUGGGUGAUUAUACUAGUAGUUAUGUUGAAUUUUUGGUUCCUCAAAAUUUAUACUAGUUAGGUUGAAUUUUUAGUUAAAUUAUUGAAAGGUAGAUCCCGCUCUUUUCCUCUAAAUUCCUCAUGAAUGAAUAAAUUUAUAAAGAAAAGUUUUCCUCAGUAAUUCUGAUCAAGAACAAAUUGAAUAAAGUUUUCUAUUUUUGCAAUUCCUAAAAUGAAAUUUUUUUUUUCAUUUUGUUCAUUUUUUUUCAUUUAUCUGGUGGUCCCCAAUCAAAGCUUUUAGAUUUUAGAGAGAGAUAGGAAAAAAAUGAAAAGAGAAAGAGUGUCUUUUUAAUGUAUAUAGAGAGCAAUUCCUCAUAAAUCUCUUAUAUAGGAGUUGAGAAACAUUACAAUUUCUUUUUGUAACUACGUGUCAUCGCUAAGAUGAUUCUUAGAAUCAUAGAAAUAUAUUGAUUCAUAUAAUUAAAUAAUAAGUUUUUUUAGCUCACCAUAAAUUCAUUUAUUAAUAUUCAUUAUUAUUUUCUUAAAUAAUCACCAGACAGCAACAAGUCUGGGUCGUGAUCCGUUGUUCUUGUCCUCUUCCUUCUCCUCAAAUUCUGAUCGUGCGGCAGCGAUAAAGAUUAGGUUCGCAGAUAUAAUUGUCAAAUCGAGUAGUAACAAGUCUGAGGCUAUAAUGACGAUCAGAAGAGAGAAGCAACUUCUUCAGCUUCAAGAAAAAGCCAUGAUCGAGGAAAGGAUGAAAGUCAGACAAGAGGAAAGGCUUGCGGUGCUGAAGAUGGAAGAAGAAGAAGAAGCAAGAUCAAACGAUCUUCGGGAUGACGAACAUUUCUUCAUUGACCACCCUGUUGCUGUACAUAUUAGGCUAUUACCAGUGCUCAGGUAACACAUAAUUUUCUUUCAAACUGGUUCUGUUUUACCCCGUUCAUGAAUCAUUUUUGGUAGGACGAUCUUCAGCAUUACUGAAAACAUAGAAUGUUGUAAGUAUCACAUUUUUGAAUAAUAAUAUCAUACUCAAAGAUACAACAUUUACUAAACUUGUCUUAUAUAAUGUUAAGUCGAGGUAUUGAACAAAUGGCCUAUUAGCUCAGUUGGUUAGAGCGUCGUGCUAAUAACGUGAAGGUCACAGGUUCGAAACCUGUAUAGGCCACUCCAUUUUUGUGUCCUUUUUUUUAUCACGCAUUCUUUGUGAUUUAGGACUGGUCAGGCCUUGGAGGAGCCAAGCUUCAUUCUCUUCACAGCAAACGCACAGAAACAAGGCUAUGUUUCCAACGACAGUAACAAGGCAUUACGCUUCAUGUUUGCUUAUAGCUGAUUGAUCUUAGUCAAGUAGAAGAUCCAACGCUAGGCUUUCCACACACACCUACAAAGAUCAGAGGUAUCAACAUAAAGAAUGUAAGCGCUGCAUGCUGUCUACACCCACCUGUCUAUUGUGGUUUCAGGCCAAACGUUUCCAAGAUCUGAUCGAGUCUUUCUAUACCUGAUGUCUCAUCAACUUGAAUUGAUUAUUAGAAGGCUUCUUUUGGUUUGACUUAAAUGUCUUCACUUGUUAGUUCUUUUAAAACAAACCCGUUUGUUUGACUUAAAUGUCUUCACUUACGGUUUCCAGAAGAUGACGAAGAACAUAUUACAUACUGUAACUUAAAUGUCUUGGUCUUAUAAUCUGAAGAACAGUCCACUUACCAUGAGAUGAUGUGUGAUUUGCAUGUUUAAGAUUUAUCUCUUUUAGAUUGGUCCCAAAAAAAGAGGAUUUUCCUUUGAUGCUAAUAGCAUGAUUUAUCGUCUUUUAUUUGAUUGAUUUUAAGAAGAAAAAAAAUAACCGUCGAUUGUUAGAAAAAUAGAAAAAGAUUUUACCAAAAAAAAAAGGAGUUUUGUUAAAAAAAAAGAAGAAAGGAGAAAUUAGUAACGUUAGAUUUUAAUAAAUUUUAGAAAAAAGGAAAUAACCAGUACGUUUAUGGUUAGGUCAUGAGAAAAGCAAAAAGGAAACAACUAUAUUAACGGCUGGAUAUUUGACUAAAAGGAAAUAACCAAUAAGAUGAUCAUGUAUUCAAAAAAGGAAAUAAUAUCCAUUGCAAAACAAUAAUCGAAUUUUAAAAACGAAAAAGGAAAUAGAGAGGGUCCCAUUUAACAACCUAUAUAUAAACACACCGAGUCUCCUACAGAAAUAGAUUUUCACAGAGACACUCUCUUCUCUACAAAUCCGAGAUUUAGGGUUUCUUUUUCGGCAUUGAUUUUUCUUCAUUCUUCUUCUUUAUCUUUACUCUCUCACUCUCUGUUUCAAAUCCAAAGCCUAGGGUUUUGCAAUGACGACAGCGACAAGUCUGGGUCGUGACCCGUUGUUCUUGUCCUCUUCCUUGUCAAAAUCUGAUCGUGCGGCAGCGAUAAAGAUUAGGUUUGCAGAUAUAAUUGUAAAGUCGAGUAGUAACAAGUCUGAGGCUAUGAUGACGAUCAGAAGAGAGAAGAGACUUCUUCAGGAAAGGCAGCUUGAAGAGAAAGCCAUGAUCGAGGAAAGGAUGAAAGUCAGACAAGAGGAAAGGCUUGCGGUGCUGAAGAUGGAAGAAGAAGAAAAAGCCAUGAUGGAGGAAAGGAUGAAAGUCAGACAAGAGGAAAGACUUGCGAUAAUCAAGAAGGAAGAAGAAGAAGAAGCAAGAUCAAACUGUAAGUUCGAACAAGAUCCCUUGUCUGCCCAAAAAACCGAAAAAGACCUGUUAAUUCUCAUUGGCGGUUCCCGCAAGGCAAGAGAUCGAUCUUUGCUUAAAAAGUUUGGGUUGGUUUUAAAAACUGAUCAUAUUGAUGAUGAUCGUCUUUAUGAUCUUGAGGAAGGUGAAAUCUUUUAGAGUACAAGUAGUAUCCUCACAAUUAAUGAUGAUCUUCUUGAUGAUCUUGAAGUAUUUUAGAGUCUAGUAUUCGGACAGUUUUUUUUUUUCUCUGUUUAUGAUGUAGGAAACAUGCGCUCUGUAAAAUCGUGUAGAAUUAAUUGUUUGAUAGCUGAUUGGUCUUUUGUGUUAUAAAAGUCUUGAGUUUUACUUGUCUUGUCUUCUUUUUGACUUGCUUUCAAACUCGUUAAACCCAUUAUUUUCUUAGUGUUAUUGGCUUCAUUAUGCAUGACAAAUCACUUGGAACAUGUAAGUUGAUUAAGUGACGCAUCAUCUCCAUAAAUCAUGACAAACAGUUCUUUUACAAACUAAUUCUCUUUGGGAUUUAUCCAAUUUGAUUGACUAGAUAACAUCAACUUGAUUUGACUGUAACAAGGCAUUACGCUUAAUGUUUUCUUAUAGCUGAUUGGUUUUGUAAAAGUAGAAGAUCCAAGGCUAGGCUUUCCAUCGACCUACAAACAGCAGAGUGAUAGUCGCAGGUUAUGGCCCAUGGAAUGGAAGCUUCAUUGUGCAAAGGCUAGUCUUGUUUUCAAAUAGCAGAAUAUCUAAUUUCUCUCAGCGUAAUCGCCAUCAGAGUACAUUCCCUUGGAUCCUGAGAAAAGGUCGCUUCCUUAAGGGUUGUAUUGAUGAUACUUGUGUAAUGAUUAUUGAAGGAUCAAUUGGCGGUGUCUGCCAAGGCGGAGGCUAGUUCCAUAAGUUACAUAAUUGCUCAGAAUAUUGUUUAAUAUUGCCUCACCGUUAACCAAAGUCUCAGUUUAUGCCCAAAUUCUAGAUGCAUGCUUUCAAUACUUUUGUGGUUUUUGGGCCAAACUUUUUCAAGAUUUGAUUGAAUCUGUAACGCCAUAACCAUCCAUGUUUCAAAGGUUCGAAAUCAUUGUUUACUGCUUUUGUAAUCACCUCAUGAUAUUUUUUCGUGUGUUGGCCUCACGUGGUAUCGCGAAUCACUUACUAUAGACCAUCCCAAUUUGAAGAACUUUACUAUUUUAUUGUUUUACAAUGAGUUAAUUUCUUUUUUUGAAGACGUGAUAUUUUGUCAGUGUAUUGCUUAUUUCCUUCUUUGUUUUCUAAAAUCCAACCGUUGAUAACUGGUUCCUCUAUGUUGGUUUUAAGAAGAACUAACUAGUGAAGAUAUCUUUUAUAAAAACAGAACUAACAAGUGAAGACAUCACAACAAAAGAAACCGUCAAUAUGUAUCCAAAUAAUCAGUUCGGAAUUAAUGAGACCCCUGAGGCCUAAAAAGAUUCUAUAAUAUCCCAGUUUGGUGAAACUAAUAAAAUUCAUGAGGCCAAAUCAAUUUUCUUAAGUCUUUUUAUAUACCACAAACCCGGAUAUUAUAGAAUCUUUCUAAGCCUCACUGGGUCUCAUUAAUUUCGAACUGAUUAUUUGGAUACAUAUUGAAGGUUUCUUUUGUUGUGAUGUCAUUACUUGUUAGUUCUGUUUUUAUGAAAGCUAUCUUCACUUGUUAGUUCUUAAAACCAACAUAGAGGAACUAGUUAUCAACGGUUGGAUUUUAGAAAACGAAGAAGGAAAUAAGCAAUACACUAACAAACUAUCACGUCUUCAAAAAAGGAAGUUAACUCAUCGUAAAACAAUAAAAUAGUAAAGUUAAAAUUGGGAUGGUCUCUUCUUUGGAGAUUAUACAACCGUAAAUAAUUGUGUAUUUCCUUUUUUCACCUUUUUAUAAAUAUCAUUGAUUUAUUUGUUUCUUUUUUUUUAAAUUAGAUGAUUUAUUUUAUUUUGUUUUCUUUUACUUUCAAGAACGAAUGAAUAUAUGACAGAUAAAAUAAAUGAAAUUUAACAUGAUUUAUUGAAUUUGAUAAAUAUGUAUUAUAACAGAAUUUCAUACUAAUUGAUAAAGUAUAUUUCUGAAUUUUUUUUGAAAAUAUGUUUUUCUGUUUUUGGAUUUAGCUAUUUAGCUAAAUUCUCUCUCUCAAGUCUUGUAUUAUUAAGUUGUUUUAAUUAGUUCAAAGUGUCCAUAUUUGGGUUCUAGUUGUCCAAUUUAUAGAUUUAUGUUUCUCAGGAUAUUUUUCAUUUUUCGCUACCCUUUGUAUUUCAGUUUGGUUCUUUCAGUAUGAAUCAAUAUAUAUCUUCAGAGAAAAAAGGCAGCCUCACACUUCUGCAUAAUAUAUCAUUCUCAAGGUCACACAUUAGGUCAAGAUUUGGUUAUUGAAUAUUACGUUGAGAUUAUAAUAAAUGGCUCAUUAGCUCACUUGGCCAGAGUGUUAUUCUCAAGGUCACUUCUGCAUAAUAUAUCGAUUCUGCAUAAUAUUUCAUUCAAUUCUUGUUUAAUCUCAAAACCACAGAUCGACAAGAAAAUAUGAAUUUUCUUUGUUUUAUUUAUUCAAGUUUAGAGAUUCUAAUUAUUUUUAAUUUCUGAAAUGUGUUUCCACAAAAUUUAUUGCACUUGCAUUAUAUAAUUAGUUUUGUCAUAUUUUUGUGGUACAAAUGUUCAUGGUUAAUAUGCUAUAUAUUUUAAUAUGUAAUAUAUAUGAAAACAAUUUUUGUUUAGUUCUAUUAUAUAUAUAGAUAUUAAUUUUUGAAUUGGUUAAAUGUUGAAAAUGACUUCAUUCAUAAAUAUGAUUCACAGAGAAACUCAAAACAUUUGAUGGUCUGGUGGGGGCAAGAAAUACAAGGUGUAUCAUUUCUCCUUUACAUGUGGAAUUGAUAGCUUUUAUCUGGGCAGUAGAAUCCAAUCUUCGAAAGUUUCAAGUGACAUUUGCAACAAUUUGUUCUUAACUGGUGAAAAUCUUUUCCGAACCAGAAAAAUAAUCCGAGUUUGCAACAUAUUUGGAAGCAAUUCAAUGACUUAGGGAAACGUUCUCCACAGCUGAGACCAUCCAUGUCUCUCAGAUUUAAAAUACAAGGGCAUACAAUAUUCAGCCUCCUACUUUGUCUUUAUGAAUGCAGAGUCCCAUGUUUGCUUAGUAAAAUCUAGAUAGAAUCUGUUUAUAAUAUUGAUGACUAAAAACUUAAAAAUUAUUAUCCUAUAAACAUUAUCUUUGUUAUUAGCUUUUUCUGUUAUUGCCAUUUUUAUUGUUUUUUUAUCAUUUUAAAUAUGUUAUAAUAAUUAUUAAUAUAUAUUAUAUUUGAAAAUUGCAUCAGACCCCUAAAAGGGCUCGCACGGGACUGACCAUGAAAUUUGCGAACAAAAAUUAAACUUGGAUUUUGUUUUUUUUUUUGAUCAAACAAAACUUGGAUUUUGUUUAACUGCAGGAUUUCAGUACUUCAUGCAGCUGCCGAUCGUCAUUUUAACUUUUAAUAAUGUGACAAGACGAAAAAAGCAAGGGAGGAGGGGAGAAGGCUCAUGUAUAGUCAUUUCACGAGUAAACAAUGAUGAUGUAAUCAUUUAAACUAUCCAGAACCACAAAACUAUCAGUGCAUAAUACAUCCACAAGUAAACAAUGAUGAUGUAAUCAUUUGAACUAUCCAGAACCACAAAACUAUCAGUGCAUAAUACAUCCACAGGGUAUUUCCAACCUAUGAUACUAUUUUAAGAGACAAUUAGCUAGAUAUCCUAAAAUGAGGUCCUAAAAUGAUUUCUAUCUAUUGAGUGACAUAAAAGGUUCAAGUUGUAUCUCUUUGGUUUGAAAUAGACGAAAAUGCCCUCGAUGCUACUUGCGACUUUCUCUUUCAUUUGACACAAAACUCUGCGACUUGCAGUCUUUGUCUUCUGACAAAAGUUUCUGACGCGUGACAGGUGAAACAAAAUAGUGUCAGAGCUAUAGAUAUGUAAUUAGGAUAGGUUUGUAGUUAGUCUUUUUCUCUACAUUUUUUCUUUUAUUUGUGAGUUAAUUUUAUGGUUUUUUAUCAUAUUAAUAGAAAUCUAGUUUUCUUUCUCAUCUCUUUCAUUUAUCAUUCAAGCUUAUAGAAAAAAAAAUCAGACUAAUUUUACAAUGUUUUAUAUAAAGAUCAAAAAAACAUUGAUGAUUUUUUUACGAAGAUUCCAAAAGAUUCAUUGUUUUUGUAAAAAACCAUAAAAAAUAAACCGAAGAUCGUAGAUUUAAAGUAGUAAUUCUAUGAAAGAAAAAAUAUGUUAGUUGUUACAAAGAGGUUGUGGCUAAUUGAUAAAUGGUUUUCAAGAUUACAAAAUAGUUGUCAUUAGCUGAUACAUGAAUUGUUAACCAGUACAUGAUUGUUAACAAAUAAAAUAUUCGAUACAUAAUUUGUUAGCUAUUACGUAGUUUGUUAUAUGAUACAUUGCUUUAUACCAAAUGAGUGACCACUACUUUGUAGCCAAGUUUGUAGCAACUAACAACCCAUAUAUUCGUUAACAAAUCAUGUACCAGUUAACAAACCAAACCAUAUAUCAGUUAACAAACCAUGUAUCGGUUAACAAACAAUGUAUCGGUUAACAUCACUUAUUUAAUAACAUUUUGUAAUAUUUUGUUGCAGUUAACAAACUUGUAUCAUUUAAUAACACUUUCGUAGCAGCUAACCAGAAAUAUAUCUCGAUCAGCAAUUUCCUAACCAUAACCACCAGGAUGGAGAAUUUGAAAGCCUUUGUUGUGUUCCAGGAACUCAUCUGAGACAAUGAUUCACUCAUCUGGAACUCAUCAGUUAACACUGCAUAUAUCAAUUAAAAAAUCAUUUAUCAGUUAGUAAUUCAUUUAUAAAAAAAUAUAUUAACUUACAAAUCAUGUAUCCACUCUUUUAUCAGUUAACAAAUCAUGUAUCAAUACAAUGUAUAAACUGACAAACAAUUUAUCAAAUCAUUUAUUAAUUAACAAACCAUAUAUCAGUUAAUGAAAAGUUUAUUUGUAUAUUCUCAAUUAUUUAUUUUAUUAAGUAACAAUGUUUUAUUAUAAUAAUAACUUACGAAAUAUGUUUUUCAAAGAGUAGAAAAUGAAAAAAUUGAUAAAACUAAACAUAAAAUGGUAUCAGAUAACUAAGUAAAAACUUGGUUAACAUAAUUGUUAUUAAAAUACGUAUAAGCUAACAAACAAUGUAUCAUCUAACAAAACAUGUAUUUGCUACUUACGACUUAUUUUGGGACGGGUUCGUCCGCCGGAGGAACAAGAAAAAAAUCAAACAAACCAUGAUGACGUUCUCUUCUAAUUUAGAAAUCAAAGUCAGUAAAGAGAAAUAUGAUUAACAACAAUGUUCUCUUUUUUGUUCUUAUGAGAUACAAUAUUAAAGAGAGAGAGAGAAAGAGAGCUAGAGCUUAUUAUAAGAGGGAAGAAAAAUAGCUAGAAUCUAGUAGACUGAUACACUGACACACUGACUGACACACUGAUACAACCGUCUGUGAGUGGGUUGAUAGGGUUGCAGGGGAAGUAGACUCGUAGGUUUGUAGGGCCAAAACGGGAAUAUAUAAUUCUCUUCUUCGGUUGAGGUAGGAGUUUAAUAUGGUGGUCUAAAAGGGAUACAAUCACAUAUUAUCUCCUAUUUUAAUGUCGUUUUAGCAGUAAAUAUUUUUGACUCUCCAACCACACCACCAAAUAAUACACAAAAAAAUAUUAUUCACUAUUAUAUUAUUAAACAAGAUUCUCUUAGUUUUUAAUUGUUUAGUAAAAUAUUUAUAAUAUUAUAACUAAAAGAUAUUAACCAAUAUUAAUUUAAAUGAUAUUUCUAUUUCACCUUUUUAAAAAAUAUUUAUAAUUUAAAUAUAAAUAUAUUAUAUGAAAAACCUUAUAUUAAAAUAUUAUUAUCAAAACAAACUCUUACAUUUAACAAUUAAAAACACAUAACAAAAGCUAGAUUACAUUAUACAAAAUUUAAGAAUUAAAAACACUUUACAAAAGCUAGAUUACGUUAUCUGAUUGUACGCAAUGUUAUCUUUUAUGUUGUUUUUUUUAGUUUUAAUUUUGUAAUUUAAAUUUUCAGUGUAUAAAUUAAUUUUUUUUAUGUAUUUUCAACUAGUUUUUAUUUGUUUUCAUAUAAAUUAAUAUUUUACAUUAAAUAAAUUUAAAAGAUAACAAAACAAAUAUGACAUAUUUACUUUAUUGAGAUAUCAUAUCCAGUGAUAAAAAAUAAUAAGAUAUAUAAAAAAUAUAAAUAACAUAU
This is an RNA transcript of Brassica rapa (field mustard), 10148 nucleotides long. RefSeq lists it as uncharacterized. The record is from RefSeq and is a predicted model, not a curated record. NCBI's taxonomy places the organism in Eukaryota, Viridiplantae, Streptophyta, Magnoliopsida, Brassicales, Brassicaceae.